Molecule: long non-coding RNA, 150 nt
Organism: Schistocerca americana (American grasshopper)
Lineage: Eukaryota; Metazoa; Arthropoda; Insecta; Orthoptera; Acrididae
Exons: 3
Source: RefSeq, a predicted model, not a curated record
ACUUUAUUGAAAUUUGAAUGGAAAGAAGGACAUCAGAAACAAAGAACGACAGUGUCGCUUUCAACCGGCAGAGACUUCCAUGAAACAUGACAUGAAAACAGCAACAACAAAUCUACCAGACUGCAUGCAUACUGUUUGCUGCUGAGUUUG